Long non-coding RNA from Dermacentor silvarum, 325 nucleotides. RefSeq lists it as uncharacterized. The record is from RefSeq and is a predicted model, not a curated record. The transcript has 3 exons. NCBI's taxonomy places the organism in Eukaryota, Metazoa, Arthropoda, Arachnida, Ixodida, Ixodidae.
ACUACGAACACUAGCUCUCAGAUCAGUCGCAGAGGUACUUAUUCAGCUGCUAAGAAGUAGUGCAUGCAAGACGCAAGCUUCAGUACUUAUUAUUGGACAUUUUGGCGACAAGUUUUUCAUUUCAGCUUUGGAAAUGUUGGCAAACAUUGUUUUUUCUGUCACCUUUGCAGCACUUAUUACAGGUCCAGUCUCUAUUACAGCUCAGGUCACGGACUCAAAUCCGGACUGCAACGUGCAAGCAGGAAGUAAACAUGUUUACGGCAGCUGCCAGUAUUCCUGCCAGGGCGAUGAAGCCGUUUUCUUAAACCAAAAGGAGCCAUGUUAU